GUCAGUCUUGGCUGGCAGACCUGUACUCCGUACUCCGUACUUCGUAGUCGCAGCGGCGCGGUCUUCGGCAGUCUAGUCAUCCACCGCCAUCCUGGGCCCCACGUGUUGCCUGACCAUUCCUGAGCCCAGGUGGGAGCCGUGGCUGAGGUGACGGUCUCAAAGUGGAAGAGCUUACUGUCACAGCAACUCCUUUGCAAGAUGCCCCGUGUCCAUGAAACUGGGAGGCGACCGUGUUAGCUGCCAGUUCCUGACAGCCACCUCUCACCAGUGGCUUCACUCUGUGUCCCUGACCCAGCACAUGGCACAAGAGUGCCUGCCAUCCGUCAGUGUUUCUACAGCAGCAAUCCCAAGAUGCUGGAGCUAGAGGGGACCUGACCUGAGAGAAGAUACCUUCAGUGGCUGCCAGGCUGUUCCUUGGAACCUGUGCAGGGAUGAGGCCUGCCUGUGUUAAUACACCUAGUGAGGAGUGGAGCUGAAUUUGAAUGCAAGCCUUGGCACCUUAAUUGAGCAAGUUUGAAACCUCGCUUGUUGCCCUUCUGGAAGGAGUCAGGAAUUUCCAGUUCUGGGCCUGGGCUGUGGGUCUGGCAGACAGACCUCUGGCCCUAGGUUUGGGUGCCAGGUUCUCUGCUUCCAGAAUGAGAAGCUUUGCUGUGCACCAGGACCUGGGCCCUUCUGGUAUCUCCUGAAUGAAAAACAAGGGAUAUUUAAUAAAUAUGGAUUUAAAUAUG
Molecule: long non-coding RNA, 728 nt
Filed under: Homo sapiens (human)
Lineage: Eukaryota; Metazoa; Chordata; Mammalia; Primates; Hominidae
Description: non-protein coding SNHG15:28
Source: RNAcentral